GACGAACGCUGGCGGCGUGCCUAAUACAUGCAAGUAGAACGCUGAAGAGAGGAGCUUGCUCUUCUUGGAUGAGUUGCGAACGGGUGAGUAACGCGUAGGUAACCUGCCUUGUAGCGGGGGAUAACUAUUGGAAACGAUAGCUAAUACCGCAUAACAAUGGAUGACACAUGUCAUUUAUUUGAAAGGGGCAAUUGCUCCACUACAAGAUGGACCUGCGUUGUAUUAACUAGUAGGUGAGGUAAUGGCUCACCUAGGCGACGAUACAUAGCCGACCUGAGAGGGUGAUCGGCCACACUGGGACUGAGACACGGCCCAGACUCCUACGGGAGGCAGCAGUAGGGAAUCUUCGGCAAUGGGGGCAACCCUGACCGAGCAACGCCGCGUGAGUGAAGAAGGUUGUCGGAUCGUAAAGCUCUGUUGUAAGUCAAGAACGGGUGUGAGAGUGGAAAGUUCACACUGUGACGGUAGCUUACCAGAAAGGGACGGCUAACUACGUG
This 497-nucleotide ribosomal RNA is filed under the name uncultured bacterium. Its description in RNAcentral is "partial 16S ribosomal RNA". It matches the Rfam family "Bacterial small subunit ribosomal RNA", at positions 28 to 507 of the family's 1533-position model. The record is from RNAcentral.